Molecule: ribosomal RNA, 200 nt
Filed under: uncultured bacterium
Lineage: Bacteria
Description: partial 16S ribosomal RNA
Rfam family: Bacterial small subunit ribosomal RNA
Source: RNAcentral
GACGAACGCUGGCGGCGUGCUUAACACAUGCAAGUCGAACGAUGAACCAUUUCGGUGGGGAUUAGUGGCGAACGGGUGAGUAACACGUGGGCAAUCUGCCCUUCACUCUGGGACAAGCCCUGGAAACGGGGUCUAAUACCGGAUACAACCACUGCAGGCAUCUGUGGGUGGUGGAAAGCUCCGGCGGUGAAGGAUGAGCC